UGCAAGUCGAACGAGAAUCUACUGAAAGAGUUUUCGGACAAUGGAAGUAGAGGAAAGUGGCGGACGGGUGAGUAACGCGUGAGGAACCUGCCUUGAAGAGGGGGACAACAGUUGGAAACGACUGCUAAUACCGCAUGAAGCAUAGGGGUCGCAUGAUUCUUAUGCCAAAGAUUUAUCGCUUCAAGAUGGCCUCGCGUCUGAUUAGCUAGUUGGCGGGGUAACGGCCCACCAAGGCGACGAUCAGUAGCCGGACUGAGAGGUUGAACGGCCACAUUGGGACUGAGAUACGGCCCAGACUCCUACGGGAGGCAGCAGUGGGGAAUAUUGGGCAAUGGGCGCAAGCCUGACCCAGCAACGCCGCGUGAAGGAAGAAGGCUUUCGGGUUGUAAACUUCUUUUAAGAGGGAAGAGCAGAAGACGGUACCUCUAGAAUAAGCCACGGCUAACUACGUGCCAGCAGCCGCGGUAAUACGUAGGUGGCAAGCGUUGUCCGGAUUUACUGGGUGUAAAGGGCGUGCAGCCGGGUCUGCAAGUCAGAUGUGAAAUCCAUGGGCUCAACCCAUGAACUGCAUUUGAAACUGUAGAUCUUGAGUGUCGGAGGGGCAAUCGGAAUUCCUAGUGUAGCGGUGAAAUGCGUAGAUAUUAGGAGGAACACCAGUGGCGAAGGCGGAUUGCUGGACGAUAACUGACGGUGAGGCGCGAAAGUGUGGGGAGCAAACAGGAUUAGAUACCCUGGUAGUCCACACUGUAAACGAUGAAUACUAGGUGUGCGGGGACUGACCCCCUGCGUGCCGCAGUAAACACAAUAAGUAUUCCACCUGGGGAGUACGAUCGCAAGG
This 838-nucleotide ribosomal RNA is filed under the name uncultured bacterium. RNAcentral's name for it is "bacterial SSU rRNA". It matches the Rfam family "Bacterial small subunit ribosomal RNA", at positions 56 to 893 of the family's 1533-position model. The record is from RNAcentral.